Non-coding RNA from Podarcis lilfordi (Lilford's wall lizard), 77 nucleotides. NCBI's taxonomy places the organism in Eukaryota, Metazoa, Chordata, Lepidosauria, Squamata, Lacertidae. The record is from the annotation of a GenBank genome assembly.
GGAGAAGGGCCCUAGCUCAGUGGUAAAGCAUCUACUUUAAGUGCAGAAGACCCCAGGUUCAAUCCUUGGCAUCUCCA